GUGUUCACUCUGGCAGCACAUAUAAAAUUGGAACUAUACAGAGAAUAAUAGGUUGGUUCCUGCACAAUUUAUGAAACACAAAUUCAUAAAGUCUUUCAUAUAUUU
This is a small nuclear RNA of Sorex araneus (European shrew), 105 nucleotides long. NCBI's taxonomy places the organism in Eukaryota, Metazoa, Chordata, Mammalia, Eulipotyphla, Soricidae. The record is from Ensembl.